Molecule: non-coding RNA, 65 nt
Organism: Dipodomys ordii (Ord's kangaroo rat)
Lineage: Eukaryota; Metazoa; Chordata; Mammalia; Rodentia; Heteromyidae
Source: Rfam
GGUGGCUCAUUGGUAGAGUGCUUGUCUUGCAUGCAUGAGACCCUGGGUUCAAUUCCUCAGCACCA